UACGUAUGGUGCUAGCGUUGUCCGGAUUUAUUGGGCGUAAAGAGCUCGUAGGUGGUUCGGUAAGUCGGAUGUGAAAUCUCCAGGCUCAACCUGGAGGGGUCAUUCGAUACUGCCGUGACUAGAGUUCGGUAGAGGAGUGUGGAAUUCCUGGUGGAGCGGUGAAAUGCGCAGAGAUCAGGAGGAACACCCGUAGCGAAGGCGGCACUCUGGGCCGAUACUGACACUGAGGAGCGAAAGCGUGGGGAGCGAACAGG
This 254-nucleotide ribosomal RNA is filed under the name uncultured bacterium. RNAcentral describes it as "partial 16S ribosomal RNA". It matches the Rfam family "Bacterial small subunit ribosomal RNA", at positions 524 to 776 of the family's 1533-position model. The record is from RNAcentral.